GCCCGGGACCGGGGCGGGGCGACCACGGGCCGGGAGCUCAGCGGUCGGCGGCCGGCGGCGGGAGAUCGCGGGCGAGCGGAGCGCAACACUCGCUUGGUUGGGGAGAUCGGCGCUUGGCCGGGUGAGCACAAGCCUGGGAGAUGGCAGUGAUGGAAAUGGCCUGCCCAGGUGCCCCUGGCUCAGCAGUGGGGCAGCAGAAGGAACUCCCCAAAGCCAAGGAGAAGACGCCGCCACUGGGGAAGAAACAGAGCUCCGUCUACAAGCUUGAGGCCGUGGAGAAGAGCCCUGUGUUCUGCGGAAAGUGGGAGAUCCUGAAUGACGUGAUUACCAAGGGCACAGCCAAGGAAGGCUCCGAGGCAGGGCCAGCUGCCAUCUCUAUCAUCGCCCAGGCUGAGUGUAGGGGCCUAGGGUUGUUGUGGGCAUGGGGCAGGUGGGUGGGCCUGCAGGUGGGUAGCUG
Molecule: long non-coding RNA, 457 nt
Filed under: Pan troglodytes (chimpanzee)
Lineage: Eukaryota; Metazoa; Chordata; Mammalia; Primates; Hominidae
Description: long non-coding RNA NONPTRT006701
Source: RNAcentral